CGGGGUUGGUGUGGCAAGGCAGAGGCAAGCUAUCACAGAUGGCUUGAGAGAGAACAUCUUGCAAUUCUCUAACAAGGUAGAAGGAACUUCAGCGAAGGAAGUUAUGGAUCUUAUCAUGAUUACUCAAUACUUUGACACAAUCAGAGACCUUGGAAACAAUUCAAAGAAUACCACAGUUUUUAUACCUCAUGGACCUGGCCAUGUUAGGGAUAUUGGUGAUCAAAUUCGCAACGGUAUGAUGGAAGCAUCGUGUGCUCAAGUUACUGAUGUUGAGUGAUUUUGUAAAAUUGCAUUUUAUCAAAGUACACUCCUGUUUCUUCUAUCUUUAUCACAGUGUCACAUACAUAAAAUAGUAAUUUCUUGGUAAUAUAUGGAUAUGUCAUUUGUUUAUUUAUGUUGGAUUUUAUGAAGAACAGUUUUGAACAGUUUGAAGUUGUAAAUGAAGAUGGUUGAGUUGUCUAUACAAUCUCUGUAGCCAUGCUAUAUAUUCCUUGACAUUGUAAUCUUAUGAGAAUUCAAAAGAUGAUAUAUAAUCUUCUGCUUUAUAUUAACUUAUCUUUUUCCUAUAGUAUCAAAAGUAUAGUUGUUUUUAUAUAUAUGGUUGUUGAUUUGACAAUGUCACCACUAAUCAUAAUUAAUAAUGUUUAAAACUGUGAUUUGUGUUCAAUGAAUGACUAUUGAGUAGCAAUAUCUUGUUAUAUUCAUUUAUCAUCCACUGAACGCAAUUAACAAUGUGUUAGAAUUGCGUUAAAACCAACCAAAUUGUUGACAAAAAUUGUUCCAUUUUGUGUCAAAAUAACAGUCCGGUACUUUCUCAUUUGUGUAUGUCUUGAAGUGUUGCUAUGUUAUUAUGCAAUCAAAUUUCGAUAGCAUAUGACAUAUUCCAGUAGUCCAAAUCCAAGUGUCAUCUCUAGAACCAGCUGCAAAAUCCACUGCCAGAAAUGAUAAUAUGAUAAGGAAUAAUCCAGGAAAACUGUAGCUUCCAAGAUAUAUACUGCUCAACAAGAUAAAACUGAAAAGAAUCAAAUGAAAGAUGCUAUGCAGAUAUAUUGUGAACACGGAUCCUCUGAAUCCGUGCAGCCAAAUUUCGACAGUUAGAUCAAGGUAGAAACCAGAUUCAACAGUCUGCUGUAUCAACAGAAGAGUAUCUGGGCUGAUCUGUUGUAGGUGUUAAUCUUACCGAAAAGCUAUUGGUAUAACAAUUAUAACAUUACCAGUUCCAGCAAUUGCAAUAAAGUUAUCUCAACGAGAAUUGAAAUUGUUACAAUGAAAGGGAAACAUAAUCAAGUUAAUAAUAAAGGAAACAUUGUGAAAAACAUUGAGCAUAGUCAUAGAGUAAUAUUAACAACCUUGAGGAAUCUGAUAAUCGGAAGUUCGGCUGAAAGGUAAGUGAAACUUGGUUAAAGAUUGCUUUACCCAGGGUUCGAACUCAUGUACUCCCGAUUGAUUCAAUAUUCACUGAAACCCGUAAGAAUGAAUGAUGUCAAACAAAACAAAUGCAUACAAAAGCCUGUUGAUGGGCUCAUUUCGUCCAACAUGAUAACCCUACCUUGCAAACACAGGAAACAAUGCUGCUUGUAAGACACUAACUGUACCUACAGAUUCCCUUCAUGUAUAAAUUUUAUCAUUAUUUUCCUAAAGGCUCAAUUGAUUGUUAGUUCGCAACAAAAUGCUGACGGAGACCAUGAAUGACUACGUAAUAACUUCAAAGUCCAAAAUGAUUUCGCUUAUUUAUCAAAAGAUACAGAUGAUGAUUCCUAUAAAUACAGUUCAACAAAAUAUUGUGACAAAUGGUGGUUUCCUACACCAAGGUUCCCACUAGAAGGUUUCUGCAGUAAUAGGAAGUUUGUUAGACUCAAAUACUAGUGCAAGCCCGAGCAAGAAAAUGCUCAAAACUUAUUAAAAAUGGAAAUCAAUGAGUCAAGAAGAGCUAGUAUAUGCUUGGUAGAAUUUAUCUUCAUUCACACUGAUAUUUUUCAUAUAAAACAAAGUUUUGUUUAUUUUUCUUCCUUUACAUAAAACAAGACCAAGUUAAGGGAGAAGAGUAUUACAGUAACAGACAGAUGAAUUUCUUUCAACCUCAUCAAUUCCUAGAGAAAAUGGACAAGCUAUGAGAACAUAAUAUCAUAGUCCUAGAUCUCCAAAACAUACCUGUGAUUGGAAUCAGAAGCACAAACAGGAAGUAAGUUUUCAUUUUACAAAGAUAUAAGCACAAGAUCCACCAAAUCUCAGUCUAGUCCAACUUAGUGUACAAACAAUCCACAUCAUGCAGCAGAAAAAACUCACUAGAUGCAUAAAGCAACAGCGAUUUUAGGGCUUUGCCAGUUAACCAAACUAUCGAGACACUGGUUCCUCCUCAUACACAAUGCAGUCAGGGACAAAAGAAUUGAAACUGCCUCACAAAUAUCACUGCAGAGAGAACAGUUCACUUGUUGCAGCUUUUGUAUCAGGGAUUAGGGUUGAAGAGCACUUUCUUUAUCUACCAAUAGUCUUUGCAAGAACAAACUCCAUUUUUGAAGUGGUGAUACCUCAUCCUAUCUCGUACUAUAAUUACUCGAUCAUAAACCUUAGAGAUAAAUUUUGUCGCAUGAUGACAAUCCGCACAAACUCUUAAAUUUUUCACUAUGCAAAUUGGAGUUCCUGGUGCUGUGUUCAUCAGUCCAAAAGCAAUAGCCAACUUCUCACUGUGUACAGAAAGAGCAGUCUCUUUAUCUUCCUCAUCAUCAAAAUCAAGCAAAACUUCCCCUAACUCGGGAACAUACCCGGCAAUCUUCAACUUGCUUAUCAUCUCAUCCAAAAAUGAAUAAAUCUCCUUACUCUUAGGAUGUGAUCGAUCACCAACAAGGAAUUGAUGGAAUAUCCCAUUCAAUUCAAUUGAGCUGAAACCAGGAAUUUUUUUCCUGUCACUGUUGAUUUCAUUUUUCUCUCUUAGCAUCCUUGCUUCAUUCCAUCUUUCUGAUGUAGAAUAUAUAUUACCCAGCAAAACAUUACAGCCUAUAUGGUUAGGAUCAAUUUCUUUAAUUAUCCUACCUAUUCUAUAUCUGCGCUCCAUAUCUUUAUAGAUUCUACAAGCAUUCAACAGUGCUCCCCAAAUCGCAACAUCCGGAGCCAUUGGCAUGCUCAAAAUCAUCUCUUCAGCAUCCUUCAAGAGCCCGGAGCGACUAAGUAAAUCUACCAUACAUCCAUAAUGCUCUAUUUCAGGAUUAAUUCCGUAAUCGCUACCCAUCAAUUCAAAAUAUGAUUUUCCCUCCUUAACCAUAUAGCCAUGGCUACAAGCAUUUAAUAAGGCAAUGAAUGUUACUUUAUUAGGAGAAACUCUUUCAACCUUCAUUUUUUAGAACACAUUUAUAGCUUCUUCAGGUUUUCCAUGCAUUGCAAACCCACCAAUCAUGGCAUUCCAUGGCCAAACCUUUCGCUUCACUUUGUGUUCACAGAAAACACUUGACGCAGAUUCUAUCUCUCCACACUUUGCAUACAUGUCAAUGAGGCUAGCAAGAAGUCUAUCAUUCAUCUUAAUCUCGCCCCUGCGAAUGUACACAUGGAUCCAAUUUCCCUGAUCCAAUGCAACAAGUUUCGAACAGGCUGCAAGAGUGCUUACCAUGGUAUAUUCAUUUGGUUUAACCUCGGAUUGCAACAUUUUGUGGAAUAAGUCCAAAGCCUCCAUGAAACAGCCAACCUAGAGUAUGCAUAAAGUAACUUUAGACAGAGUACAUAUACAAUCAAGUUAAAAUAAUAAAAUAUAGGCAAAAUACAUUUUGCGAAGUUGUUUAAUUGUACGAAAUCAAUCCUUUAUUUUUUUUUGUUCCUUGAUAGGUCCUUUAAGUUCCAAAAUGUGGACGUCGUUUCCUUUUCUGUGUUUCAGUUUAGCUGCAUUUUGAUACUGAUGUGUAGAUUAAAAAAGCCAUUCCUUGGCUCGAAUCAUAUUACCGGAUCCAACAUACGCACCAAUCAUAGCGUUCCAACUAUACAAAUCUCUAUAUACAGCCAAAUCAAAAACCUUCCUCGCAUCCUCCACAUCUCCCCACUUUCCAAACAUACCAAUCAACGCAUUCACAACAAACACAUUACAAUCCAACCCAACUUUCACAGCAUGUAAAAAAACCUGCUCCCCUUCCCUCACACAUAACCCAUUUCCACAAGCACCAAAAGCAAACACAAAACUAUACCGAUUCGGGAAAAACCCUGAAUCCCUAGUCAACAAUUUAAACACUGCGACGGAAUCACGAUACGAAUGGUUUGACAUAGAAUGUGCUUUGAUCAUGGUGUUGUAAAUGAAUAAAUCUGGGUGAGGAAUUUUAUCAAACAGUUUGUAUGCAUAAGUAAGAGAAGCUAAAGCAACCUGUUUAACAAAUUUGUUGGCUAUAACACGGUGUGAGAUUUGUGCUGUGGUGAUUAAGUUUGCAUGGGUUUGUUUAAUUUGAUUAAUAGAUUUACAUAAAUCAAUUAAAGAGCUAUGUUUUGAAUGGUUAACAUAAUGAAAAAGGUUUAGUGUCACAGCCAGUUUGUUAUACCUUUUUUUAAAACAGAUUUUUGUAGUGUAAUAUGUUUUUGUUAUAAUAUUUUUAACAAUUAUUUUUUGAAGGAAAACUUUAAAUAAAAAAUUUGUUUGAAUAGUUUAUCUUCAAAUGUCAUUCUAAGGUUUUGUUUGAUAAAAAUAGCGGAUAGCUGAUAAACUAUCUGAUAGGUGAUAGCUUAAUAUAAAAUGACAUAAAAGGACAUUCUUAAUUUGUAUUAAAAUUUAUAACAAUUAAUAUUUAAGAUAUAUAUAUUCAGUAAUUUAAAUUUAUUAAUUUAAUAAAUAUUUUAUAUAUUAUCAAAUUAAUAUUUUGCUAAAAUUUUAUUUUUUCUAUUCCAAUUUUUAGACUUUAUAAAAAAUUAAAGUAUGAAUGAUUUUAUUUCAGUUUUUAUACUUCAAAAAAAUUAAACAUAACAUUGAACUAAAAGUAUUUUGAUCAUAACAAAGCUCAAUGUGUCAUCGUGGGCUUAGCUUAGUUGAUAAGGACAAUGUCAUAACAUAUGUAAGGUCCGGGUUUAAACCCGAGGCACCACCAAAAGCUCAAUGUAACACCUUUUCAACAAUAAAAAUAAACUCUCUAAAAGAACGAGAGGAAGAAGGAGAGGAGAGAAGAAUGAUGUGCGAUGGAAGAAGGAAACGCGAUGGAGGAGAGAAGGAGGAAAUCUGGAAGAAAGAAAAAUAUUUCCCUUAUAUAUGUGCCAUGUGGGAUUUGCCACGUGUGCAUCACUAACGGGCAAAUGACAGACCAGCUUUGCUAUUCAGUACGGAUAUUUCUGUGCGGAAUUUCACGGACGCGUGUGAAAUUUAACGAUCCACGCGCUGCAAUUGCUUAAGUCCUACUUUUAUUUUUUAAUAAAAAUUCAGACAAAAUAAAUUCUUUUGUUUAAUCAGUUUUCAAUAUCUCUUCUAACAAACUAUCAGAAGCGUUCUUCUCUCCUUUCCUUCUCUACGUUGUCACUCAUCACCAUCCACCAUAUUUAGUUUUCUGAAAGGAGCAAUUUCUCCGUUGAUCAUUUUCGUCCGCCGUCGCUCAGUCAUCGCCAACCACCACAACUCGCCAGGAAACGCCGCCGAAGUUGGUAAUCUCCACCGCGAUUAAAACAUUACGUCGGAGACAGUAAAAGUAAUUAAAAAUGAAGUGAAACAACUCAAACAAAGUGGUAAUUUUAUAAUUAGAAGAUGAAAACAUAAAAUUAUUUUGAGAUUGAGAUUGAUAUUGAUAUUUAAGUCUAGAUAUAAUCUAAAUGCAAAGAUCAUGUAGAGAUAAUAUGUGUAUGAUGAAUAUGUAUUUCGGUUAUGUAUUGUUUUGUUUAUUCCGCCCAUAAGUUAUUGUGCUUAUUUCUGACCUUUGCAAGUAAUGGCUGUCAGUUAGGUUCCAGAAAACAACUGUUGUGUGUAUGUAUAUUAGAGCAAUAGCAUAAUAAAACAAGAAUUGCUCUGCAUUCAAUAUAUUGUUCCUCUGUUGAUUGGUUGUACUUUAGAAGACAAUGAUAAUAUUGUUGCUUCUGUCGUAAGGUUAUGGUCAAAAGUGAACCAAAAGAUUAUGAUCAAUAAUUAAGGAACAAUUUUGGUUUUAUAAAACAACUGUUAUUUGUUGGUGUGUAUAUGAUAGCAGUAAUCUAAGAAAGGAAGUAUAAUUCUGCAUUCAUCAUUUUGUUUCUUAGUUAUUUGGCUGUACAUCAGAAUAUGACUUCUGCAAGGUGUUAAAGCAGGACUAUUCUAUGAUAUAAUCUCCUAAAAUUUACGUUUCUAUAAAUUAUAUUGAUUAAUUCUCUGUGAAUUGGAAGUUUAAGGGAAGUCAAAUACUUAUUUUGUAUAGUUAUUUCUUUGAUUGCGAUUUUUUGCAGCUUUCAUCUCACCUUUUCUCGGAUCUCCUUGAUUCCAUUAUAGUUGAUGUGGCAUCAGAGUGUCACAGAGUAGCCAAGCUAGGGCUUGACACUAAUUUGGUUGAAGAAGAUGAAGAAUUGAAGUUAUUGUGCAGGAUGUCUCUUCCUUUGCUGAAGUGUUCAAUGCAGCCUGUAGACCCACACCAGGAAUGAAUAGCAGCAGAGAGCCUAUACCAGAGUCCUCAAAAGGUUGGAAAAGCCCUCCUUUGGGUGUUUUGAAAGAUGCGAGAUGCUUUGAAGAUGGGCACACAUGUUGGGGUCUGAUCGUUAGAAACCAUGAGGGUGCGGUCAUUACGGCAAAAAGAAAGAUUGAAAAUGUGUCCAUGACUCCAAUCCUAGCUGAAGUUGUGGGACUAUGAUGGUGCUUUAAAUUGGCUUUCAGGAAAAAGAGAAAAUUAAUAUUGAGCAUUUGGAUUUUAGGAGGUCUGUUAAGACUAUCCAUGCAAUGUAAUAUUACUCAUGUCUAUGUUAUACAUGUCAAUGAAUAAAAAGUCCAUCUAACAUCAAUUUGUGUACUUCAAGUUUUAAUAUUCUUUAGUAUUUCUUUUGGCAUCAAUAACAUGAUAUUCCUUCCAAAUAAAAGGCUAUAGAUUUUUUUUAAUCGGCAAAUUAUUCUCGUCGAGAUUGUGUAAGGAACACGAAAAUCUCGCGGAUAAAAUCAAACAAGAAGUAACGAGUACACAUGAACACUAAUACAAACACCUACCAAAACCACCCAUAACAAAGCUAAAAUCAGAAGCUUUAUAUUCCAAAUUUGGUUGCUGCUAAAGGGUAAAAAACACUGAAGCAGAAACAAAACUGAACCAAAAAGAAAAAAAAACACAUAACUAGCACUAAACAACCCAUUCCACCUAACAAUAAUGCUUGACCAAAACAGCCGCACACAUGCUCAAAAGUGAAUACUGCAGACCCUCAUGCCUUGACUACAGAAAAACCAGACAGCAGUUCAAACCAAAAACAGCAGUGUUAUGGUUUUGUGACCUGAGAGUAAUAAGGAGCCUGCAAAGAAUAUAUAAUUAACCACUUAUGUUCAUUAUAAAAAUGUCAAAUAAAAACAAAACAACACCAAAAUCUAUAUUUGCACCUUGUUUACUUGACCAAAAUGUUCUUGAUUUGGAUUGAAGGAAGCUACAGUAUUCACACUACCAUUUUCACUGCUACAAACAUAGUUAUGCUCCUGUUAUAGAUAUUAACAUGCAAAAACAUAGAUAAAUAGUAUGCAAUAUCAUAUUGAAUAUUUCAAAUAACAAAAAGCCAAUCAUUUUUAAUUAAAUGAAAGUAAGAAAUCAGGUUUACUUGAAUAUUGUCUUGUGUCCCAGUCCCAUCAAAAAUUUGAUACCUAAGAAACUCUUCAUUUGUAGUAUUUUGAACUACAUGCAAUCUUAGUCUCUGUCAUAAAAAAAACUAUAAUUAGACACACCCACAUGUACACACACACUACUGUGUUUAACUACAUAAAUAGUACCAUUCAACCAUUUAAAACUAUGUUCACACUAAAAUAUUUACAUAGAAAUAUUUACACUAAAAUAUUUAGUAUAUGCUUUGUUUACUUGAAUGCUCUCUUGUGUGCCAAUUCUAUCACCAAGUUGAGAUUUGUAAAACACUUCGUCUUCAAUUUCUUGACCUCUAGAUGUACAUUGGCCCUGCCAUAAAAAUUAUUAAAUUAGACAUCUCAACUAUUAUACCUAUAAUAUCAACAAAUUGCUAUAAAUUUCAUACUCACCUCUUCUUGAACUUGAAUAUUUUUACUACUUUGGUUGCUUUUUUUAGUUUUCUUUUGUGCAAGCUUCUUCUUCACAAUCUGAUCAACUAUAGAAGUCUUCCUUUUUGAAGGAGGACGCCCUUUACUUCGAGCUAGUUUAGGAUCAAGAAUGAUAGCUUGAUUUUGAGCUGAACAAUCUUCUUCUACAAUUCUAGGAGAUGUUUCAUUACAUGGUAACUCAAUUUUCAUGUUUUGAAUCAAGUUCAUCACUUUCACUAAAUCAUCUUCACUAUUUAUCCUCGUUGAAGCAAACUCAUAAAAGGCAUCACAAGCUUUACCCACACGUUGCAAUUCAGUUUUUCCAGCCAAAUUAUCAAAACCGCAUUUAAUAAGUGUAUACCUCCGCUUUAUAUCCUUCCUCCACCGUGCCAAAAUAUAAUUAGAUGGCACAAAAUCUGUUUUCCCUAUGAGCUUAAGCACGCAAAGGAUGUGCCUACAUAAAAUGCCUUUAAAUUCAAACAAGCAGCAGGUGCAUUUUAACACAAAGUCUUUUUCAUUGAAGAACACCAUCAACACAAUAUCUUUCAUCGUGUCAUAUACUUUCUUACUUUCUGUAACAGAAAAUAUUGAAUCCAAACCCUCCAAUCUGUUGAAACAUGCAUGACAGUACAUCAUAGAAGCUAUUUCCAAUUGGAAUUCCUGAAACUUUGCAUUGGUAAAUGCUUUUUGGAAUUGGAACUCAAAACCAAAGUGACUAAUACAAAAAAUAACUGUAUUAAAAGAACGAAAGUCAGCAAUUUUUUCCUUUUCAAUUUUGUCUUUCAAUGCAUUAUCAUAUUUCUCAACAAAUUGCUUCAAUGUUGUCUUUGAGCUUACAUAUCCAUCAAAAAACGAGUUCAUACUUUCACUUCGUUGUGUAGUUGACAUUCCAGCCUAAAAUGUGUCCCUUACAUAUGCAGGGACCCAACGAUGUCGCUCAACAAAUAACCCUUUCAACCAUUCGUUAUCCUGUAGUUUGUAACACUCAAUCAUAUUUUGCCACCUCGUCAUAAAAUCACUUUUGGUAAAAGAAUCAUAUACAAUAUCAUGCAAAAGUGUUUUGAUAGACUCGUAGUCAGAGUGGCUACCAAACUUUUCUAGAAUCUUUUUCAUUAAAUGCCAUAAGCACCACCGAUGACGAGCUUUCGGAAAGACAAUCUCAAUUGCAUUCUUCAUUGCUCUGUCUUGAUCAGUGAUUAUGUCAUUUGGAGAACUUCCAUGCAUACAUUCCAACCAUAUCUUAAAUAACCAAGGAAAAGUUUCAGUAUCCUCGUUUGACAACAGAGCACAACCCAACAACAUAGACUGACCGUGAUGAUUUACUCCAACAAAAGGAGCAAAAGGCAUGUCAUAUUUAUUUGUUAAGUAAGUGGUGUCGAAAGUUAUGACUUCACCAAAAUAUUCAUAUGCAACCCUACAUCUUGCAUCUGCCCAAAACACAUUUUGUAACCGAAUUUCAUCAUCCACAUCCAUCACAUAAUAAAAUUGACUGUUUUGCUUUUGUAUCCUCACAAAAUAAUUUUGUAUUGCUUCAGCAUCUCCUGUCCCAAGUCACAGUCGUCUUACUUUGUCUAUGUAGUUUUUGCAGUCUUUUUCUCCAAAUGUGAGAUUUUCAUACCCAUCUGCUUCAACAACAAAGGAUCGGAAAUUUCUACUUACAUUAAUCCCAGCUUGGUCAUUGAGUUCUAACCUCCUCUUCAUUUGUGCCCCUAUAUUCUUGUUCGAUCUAAAAUACCUUGCUUUCCCUGGACUUAGAUCAUGAUUAUGCUAAAAAAAAAACACUUUUAAUUUUAGUUGUUCCGUCUAAAGAAAUACACGCAUUCAAUCUAGCCUUACACUGCGUUUGAGUUAUAGGAUUUGGCUCUAACAUAUUCUUUGGGCGACUCACAUACUUUCUAGCUCGACUACAUGCUAAGGUAAAAUACAUUUUCCCCUCAUCUCCUUUUUUUGAACUUAUUUUUUUAACUCCAAAACCCACCCGUUCAACAUAAUUCUUGUAAUACUCAGUAAUUUCCUUUUCAGAUCCGAAUGACAUCCCAUCACAAGGUGUUUCUUCUUCACAAGUACCAUUUGCUUCUAAACAAUCAUUAGUUUCCAAUUCAUCACAAGACUCAAAUCCUUUUUGCACUAAUACAACAAAUUAGAAGAAAAAAAAACCUAUAUUAAUUGACUAACACAAUAAAGUAAAUGAAAAAUCAAUCGAUCAGCACAAAAUUCCUUCUAAUAAUCUAUAAAAACAACAAAUACACAAAAUACUUACUUGUAGGUAAAUUAAAACUGAAAUACUCUGCUUGAGUGCUAUGAAUCAAUGGAAGCUAUGAUGGUAAGCAAAAACAGAGUUACAUGAGAAUGAAUAUGAGACCUGAUUCAAAGAGACGAGCGUGAAAAAGAGAGCGACGACCCUAUAUCACAACAAUUGAGAUUGAAUGUCAAUCAGAUUCUUUGAUUAGCGGAAAAGAGGAGAUAAUUGCAGCGGGAGUGGUGAACGUGGGUUCUUUUUUGUAUGUUUUUGUUUUGGUGAACGGUGGGUUUCACUUUCAUUUCUAUUAAGGGAUUUUAUUAUUUAUUUAAUUUAAUCUUGUUUUUUUUUUUGACAAAGAAACUGCAGCGCGUAGCACUAACACGUUUUCACGCGUCCGUAAUUUUCCGUAUUCAAAGUUUUCGUACGAUAUAUCAUUUUCCAUGACAGAAAGAAAGGACCAAGUGUAGUUACGGAGGUGUACGUAUAAAGUUAUGGGACUAAGGUACCGUUUGCCCCGGCUUUUUUUUUUCAGUUUUUCUACGUUUUUAAGGAGAAGCUAGGCCAAACACAAUAUCAAUAAAGUACCUUCGAAAAAAAGUAUCUUUUUUAGAAUGCAUAAAAUUGAAUGGAAUGAGCUUUAAUCAAAAGUUGUUGAAUGCUACUUCAAAAAACUAUUUCUCCCCAAUUUAUUUCACGAACACCUCUCUUCAACUCCCGCCGGCGACCUUUUGUUUUAUUUUUUCAAUACACUUUUUUCUUCCAUUUUAUUUUUUUUAACUGGUCCAUUUAAUUUUUUAAUGAGGUUCCAUUUAAGUUUAUUAUCUAUUUUUUUAAGGAAUUUUAUUAUCUUUUUAUCACUUAUAUAUUAAUUUCAAUAUCUUUUGAUCAUCACAACCACGCAAAUAUUUGUAUUCAUGCUGUCAAUGAAUGACACCGAAUAUUUUUAUUCCCUUUCUUCAACCACGGAAAUACACACACACAUUAGUGUUUAGAGUAAUAUUUUAUGUUCCUCUUUCUUGUUUUUUUUUUGUUAUGCUAAUGCGUAUAAUUUUUGUUAGUGUUGUGUAAUGCGUAUAAUUAUUUUUAUAAAAUUUUGAUUUUAAUUAAAAGUACAAGUGUAGUUGCCUAAAAAAAUUAUACUUAUAUAUAAUUUACACAUUUGUAUUGUAACAAACUAUGCAUAUCUUUUUCUUAUUAAAAAAACUAAACAUAUCUUUUUCAAUGACACCAGCAAUGUAACAAAUAUAAUAUUAUAUAUAUAAAUUCUUAUCUUUUUGACCAACACUAAAAAUAUGGUAUUCUUAUAACAAAAUUUGUUAUAGAGUAUAAUUGGAAAAGAAAAAACCAAUUAUUCUCAUUAUAUAUACACACAUAUACAUAUUAUAGAUAUGAUUGAGCGUGACGAAGAAAGCAAUAUAAAUGAAGAAAUCAGUUCAUAUAAUCCAGGAAGAGUGCAAGAUGGAGGCUACAUGAAUAAAGUUAGAAAUCAAAUAGGAGUUGCGUUGAUGGAGAGUAGAAAUAUUUGAGUUUGUGAUGAUUUAUGUCUUUAAAAAAAAAUGAUUAUUGUUUUUAAUUUUCCAAACUACUUUGAUAUUAUUUAUGUUAUUAUUUGAGCCUCCUUAAAUUAUUUAUCCUAUUCAAAUAUUUAACAAGUCGUUUAUAUGAUGAUACAAAUUUGUAUUCAUGUUACACAAAAUAAACGUCAUUGAGUAAAUAUAGUAUUGGUAAAAAUAUAUCGUUUAUAUUUUAAACAUUUUUUCCCUUCAAAAAAUAUUUUAGACAUUUUUUUAUUUAUUAUGUUAAUUCAUAAUGAAUUCAAAGUUUUUUUAUUUAUAGACAAUGCAUAAAUAUAUGCAAGGUCCCGGGUUCGAACCCCAGACACCACAAAAAAAUAAUAAAUUCAAAGUUUUGUACAAUAUUUUGCCAAACAGCUUUUAACUCAAAAAUAACUUUAGAACUAAAAAAAAAUAAAGAAACCAAACAGCCUUAACCUUUUUCUUAAAGAGCUUUAUUUUAACUUUGUUUUAAAGUAUUUUUUAGACCGAAAAAAAGCCUGGCCAAACGGUACCUAAAUCGGGAACAACAAAUAAGUUAAGGGAGGGAUCAUGUAAUUAAUUAAGCCUAUUUUUCACAAAGAAUUGAAACCGUGCAGCUUUAAAAAAGCAGUCUCUCGAAUAUCCAGCAUAAGAAUGAGAUUAGGGUGAGCGACGAGAGCAUUAGAAAAGAAGAGAAGAGAAGAGAGUGAUCGUAUCUCAGUCACCGAAAUCGAUAUCGGAUGAUGAAAAUGAUUCUGUUGAAGGGUUAGGGUUUGGGUUUCAAGCUUCCAUUCAGGAUAGAUGCUUUGGACAACAACUCAUCUUCAACGGUUUUCAAUAGAAUCAUUUUCAUCUUCCUAUUAUUGAUUUCAGUGACUGAAAUUACUUUAAUCAGUUCCUUAAUAGAACACAUACUGAUGGUUGAUAUUAUACCUGAUCCUUCUGUGCAUAUGGCAAUAAUGAAUGAGAUCAAUGCAGGUAUUAAAACUGUUUUUAAGACUGUCUUUUUUCCUUUUGACAUUUUUUUUUGUUGUUGAAAAAGAAAAUACGUAUGUAGCAGUAAAUGUAUGCAUGCAGUAUACUCGGUCACCAAAUUUAGCGAUUUGGUUCUGAAAGAUUACGUCGUAUAUUCUGAAAGAAUCCGGUACCAAAAUACAAUUUAAUUGUAGAAAUUGACUUUUAUUGAUGGAAGAAAUGUUUACAACAGAAACUGAUUUACAUUAUAGACACAUAAACUAAGGAAAGAGAUUUGAUCAAUUUCAUGGGAAUGAGAGGCUUCCUAAGGCUAUGUUGCCUUACUUUAUUGCUUUGAUCCCUAAAGUUAGUUUGCCCAUGGAGUUGAAAGAUUUCCGGCCUAUCUCUUUAUUAGGAUGUCUUUAUAAACUCUUGGCAAAGGUGCUUGCUAGGAGAUUGGCCAAGGUGAUGAAUUUCAUUAUUUCUCAACAUCAAUCGGCUUUUUUAAAGGGGAGGAAUUUGGGGGAUGGAGUAUUGGUGUUGAAUGGAGUUGUGGAUUUUGCUAAGAAAUCAAAUUCGGAAUGUCUCAUUCUUAAGGUGGAUUUUGAGAAGGCUUAUGAUUCUGUGGAUUGGGGUAUUUUGGUGUAUAUGAUGGAGAGGGUGGGUUUGUAUCCUAAGUGGAUAGCUUGGAUGAAAGCGUGUGUAUGUGGUGGUAGUAUGUCCAUUUUGGUUAAUGGUAGUCCAACGGAAGAAAUUAAUAUUCAAAGAGGAUUAAAACAAGGUGAUCCCUUAGCACCUUUUCUCUUUCUUUUGGUGGCGGAGGGUUUUAGUGGCUUUGAAUUUGUUUGAAGGAUUUAAGUUGAAGGAAGAAGGGAAGGUGUACUCGCAUCUUCAAUAUGCCGAUGAUACUAUUUGUGUGGGACAAAUAACGGUGGAGAAUUUGUGGACCUUGAAGGCUUUGCUUAGGGGCUUUGAGAUGGCUUCCGGGUUGAAAGUUUAAUUUUUAUAAGAGUUGUUUGAAGGAUAUUAAUGUGGAGCCGGGCUUUAUGGAAAUGGCGUGCAAUUUCUUGAAUUGUAGUCAAGGUUUCUUUCCGUUCAAGUAUUUGGGGUUACCGGUAGGAGGAAAUCCGGGUAGAAUUACCACUUGGGAUCCUUUGAUAGAUCAAUUGUCUUGGAGGGAGGAUUGUUCUUCUUAAUUCCGUUUUGAAUGCAAUUCCUAUCUUUUAUCUUUCCUUUUUCAAAAUGCCGGUUAGUGUGGUGAAGAAGGUGGUUAGAAUUCAAAGAGAAUUUCUUUGGGGUGGUUUAGAGGGAGGGAGGAAGAUUAGUUGGGUUAGUUGGAAGGUGGUGUGUCAACCGAAAGAGGUGGGUAGACUUGGAGUUAGGGAUGUCUCUUUGGUGAAUUUGAGUCUUCUCGCAAAGUGGAAAUGGCAGUUAUUGCAAGGGGACAAUACACUUUGGAAGGAGAUUCUAGUGGAGAGAUAUAGUCCUAAGGAGUUUUUGGAGGAAGGGGUGGGCGUGUGGCCGGUCAAUGCUUUUAGGUGGUGGAAGGAUUUGGUGUCCUGAGCAAAAGGUAACGAGGUAGAUUGGUUUUAUGAGGUGGUUAGAAAGGUGAGUAAUGGAGCUACAACGAGUUUUUGGAAAUUGGCAUGGAGAGGAGGAGAACCAUUUAUGAUUAAAUUCCAUAGACUUUUUUUUGAUUUCAACUUUCCAAGAAGCAACAAUUCAAGAGAUCUGGAUUCCGGACUUAGGCGGUGGGAGGUGGAGUUUUAGUUGGAGGCGUCAACUAUUUGUUUGGGAAGUUAAUCUCCUUGAUGAGUUGUUGGGGGUGUAGGAGAGUUUUGUGUUGGGUGGGGUGGAGGAUGAAUGGCGGUGGAAGUUGGAGGAAGACGACACCUUCUCGGUGAAAUCUAUGUAUCUCAAAUUGGAGGGGAGAUGGUUGGCGGAGGUAGUGUGUCCAGAGGGCGAGAGGAGAGUGUUUAGACAAAUUUGGAAGACCGGGGCACCGUCCAAGGUGAGGGCCUUUGUUUGGAAAGCUCUUCUUGAUCGGAUUCCGACGCGUGUUAAUUUGGGAAUUCGGAAUUGUUUACCUCCCGGUGUUGGAAGUAAUUGUGUUCAUUCUACGGAUUUCUCCGAGUCUACCUCACAUCUCUUCCUUCAUUGUGAUUUGGCCCGGAAUGUUUGGUUGAGUUUGAUGUCUUGGUUGGAUUUGAAUUUUAUAAUGCCUUCGAACCUUUUUAUCCAUUGGGAGUGUUGGAGUGGGGGUCCUUUUCAUAAGAAAGUUCGGAACGAGUUGCGGAUGAUUUGGAGGUCGGGAUUUGGGUGAUUUGGAAGGCUAGAAAUGAGUGCAAUUUUAAUAAUGCUAUUGCUAGAUAGGAUGAGUUAGUGGAGGAGGUUAAAGUGAUGUCUUGGAGAUGGUUGCUAGGUAGAUCAAAUUCUACGGUUUGCUUGUUUUAUGAGUGGAGUUGGGGUCCUCGAGAAUGCCUUUUGAGGUAAGGUUGCGGCUGUCCUUUGGUGUUUGUGCGUGUCUGGCUGUUGGGGGGCCUGUGGCUUCGGUUUUUGGCCUGCUGUCAUGACAGAACAGCAGCUGUUGGUGCUGUUUCUGUCGGAUGCGCAGCUGGUUUUUGGGCCUGUUUUGGCCGUGGUAGGUGCUGCCUGCUUGGGGUAAUUGCUUGGGGCUUUUCAGGAGGCGUAGUGGCUUAGCUAUGGGCUUGAAUUUUGGUGCUGUUAUUAGAUUUCAAAGUCAUAGCAGUAGCCAUGCUAUUUGGUUUUGUUCGUUAUGGGGCUUCUUCGCCGUCUUCGUGUUGGAAGUGGUGGAGCAGUUUUAUUUUGGGUGGAUGUUAUGCCUAUAGGCGGCAUUUUUGUAUUGUUCCUUUUGCCACCUCUUUGCAUCUUGCGAGAGCUUCGGCUUAGUAAAUUUUGCCGAUUAAAAAAAAAAACUAAGGAAAGAGAUAUAAUACACCAUUACUAUCCAAGAAAUUCGGAAGUCUUGUAUGUUGUUUAUACCUUAAACUCUAUGUACGUGUGUAGCACCCCUGCAUAUGUUUAUCCCAUUUGCUCAGUUUUGUUAAAGAGUGUCUAUAACACUAUAGCGUAGAGAAAUAUGAACAAAUCACUAUUGUUACUGUUACAUGCGAUACCUAUUUAUCACAAAAUAUCGUCAAUUAACAGCUAUUGCGGCACUAUAACACUGUUGCAUAGCGGAUAAUGCAUAAACUGCUAUUUUCCAUGAUCCGUGAUUGACAACACUGCAUUUGCUUGUCCAUUUAUGCAGCCUUUGUAUGCUUGUUUAUUACAUUUAUAUGUCCUUUAUACAACUUGACUACAAAAAUAUUUUUGAGAUCAAAAUUUUGAUGUCAAGCAGUGUCCUAUGGUUUUUGUGUGUGUUUUUUUGAAAUGAGUGUAAGUUGUAAAAGAUCAAAAGUAAGUGAGAGAUAGAGAUAAACACAUAUUGUGUCACACGGUGUCUGUAUUUUGAUGUUCAAAUAUUACAACUGCUUAACUAAUGAGUAUUUGUUUAAUUUCACAGCUCAAAUGCUGUUACUUGCUAGUGAAUUCAAAGGAGAAGCAGACAAGGUGCUUAUUGUUAAAAAGGCAGAAGCAGAAGCCGAAUCAAAGUUUUUAGGCGGGGUUGGUGUGGCCAGGUAGAGGCAAGCUAUCACAGAGGGCUUGAGAGAGAACAUCUUGCAAUUCUCUAACAAGGUGAAGGAACUUCAGCAAAGGAAGUGAUGGAUCUUAUCAUGAUUACUCAGUACUUCGACACAAUCAGAUACCUUGGAAACAAUUCAAAGAAUACCACAGUUUUUAUACCUCAUGGACCUGGCCAUGUUAGGGAUAUUGGUGAUCAAAUUCGCAACGGUAUGAUGGAAGCAUCGUGUGCUCAAGUUACUGAUGCC
RNAcentral lists this long non-coding RNA (16767 nucleotides) under Medicago truncatula (barrel medic). RNAcentral's name for it is "long non-coding RNA (MTRU_LNC004230)". Lineage: Eukaryota; Viridiplantae; Streptophyta; Magnoliopsida; Fabales; Fabaceae. The record is from RNAcentral.